Small nuclear RNA from Octodon degus (degu), 106 nucleotides. The record is from Ensembl. NCBI's taxonomy places the organism in Eukaryota, Metazoa, Chordata, Mammalia, Rodentia, Octodontidae.
GAGUUCAAUCCCAGGUUCUGCCAAAAAAAAAAGAAUGAUACAGAGAAGAUUAGCAUGGCCCCUAGACAAGGAUGAUAUGCAAACUUGUGAAGUGUUCCAUAUUUGU